This 164-nucleotide ribosomal RNA is filed under the name uncultured bacterium. RNAcentral's name for it is "partial 16S rRNA". It matches the Rfam family "Bacterial small subunit ribosomal RNA", at positions 355 to 511 of the family's 1533-position model. The record is from RNAcentral.
UAGGGAAUCUUCCACAAUGGACGCAAGUCUGAUGGAGCAACGCCGCGUGAGUGAAGAAGGUUUUCGGAUCGUAAAGCUCUGUUGUUGGUGAAGAAGGAUAGAGGCAGUAACUGGUCUUUAUUUGACGGUAAUCAACCAAGAAGCCACGGCUAACUACGUGCCAU